Molecule: ribosomal RNA, 253 nt
Filed under: uncultured bacterium
Lineage: Bacteria
Description: partial 16S ribosomal RNA
Rfam family: Bacterial small subunit ribosomal RNA
Source: RNAcentral
UAUGGAGGUCUCAAGCGUUGUUCGGAUUCAUUGGGCGUAAAGGGUGCGUAGGUGGCGCGCUAAGUCAGGUGUGAAAUUUCGGAGCUUAACUCCGAAACUGCAUUUGAUACUGGCGUGCUUGAGGACUGGAGAGGAGACUGGAAUUCAUGGUGUAGCAGUGAAAUGCGUAGAGAUCAUGAGGAAGACCAGUGGCGAAGGCGGGUCUCUGGACAGUUCCUGACACUGAGGCACGAAGGCCAGGGGAGCAAACGGG